UACGGAGGGGGCAAGCGUUGCUCGGAUUUACUGGGCGUAAAGGGCGCGUAGGCGGCCGGGUCAGUCAGACGUGAAAGCCCCUGGCUCAACCAGGGAAGGGCGUUUGAUACUGCCCGGCUUGAGUGCGGGAGAGGAAGGUGGAAUUCCCGGUGUAGCGGUGAAAUGCGUAGAUAUCGGGAAGAACACCGGUGGCGAAGGCGGCCUUCUGGACCGCUACUGACGCUGAGUGCGCGAAAGCUAGGGGAGCGAACGGG
Molecule: ribosomal RNA, 254 nt
Filed under: uncultured bacterium
Lineage: Bacteria
Description: partial 16S ribosomal RNA
Rfam family: Bacterial small subunit ribosomal RNA
Source: RNAcentral